UGUGUGUGUGUGUGUGUGCAUGUGUGUGUGUGUGUGUGUGUGUGUGUUUGGCACACGCCAUGUACUCUCUUGUGCAGGUACUACACGAAUGCGAAACGCGACAAACCCUACAACGUCAUUAGCCUGGAGUUCACCAAGACUAAGUUGGAGCCUCAAGUGGAGUCACCCAGUCUGAUACGGAUGCAGCGAAGCUCUCUCCGGCGCCCACAUGCGCCGAGAUCCCACAGCUGUCAACGGAUGACACUGCAGCCCAGUCGCCAGCGACAGCGGCAGCUGCUGCUGCUGCUUCGUCAGGAGACGGGAACAGCUCACAAGGCGGCAAGCCACCUCCAUCACCGCCAUCCUGCCCGUUCUCGGACAUGGCCUGUCUCAGCUCGUAUGAGAUUGAUGGCUUGCGACGGCUGCUGGCCGAGCUGAACGUUUCCACGACGAUGGUGAGGGCGUGUCCCGAGGAGCUGGGGGAUCCUGGGGAGCUCAUGUCGACCGUGGAGGUAAGUUGUCGUGUGUGAUGUGUGGGUAAAACCGAAGUUACCGAAAAUAAAUCUCCACCGAAAUUUUCCGGUUUUACAGUAGCCUAUCUUCAGGGACAUAUAAUAACUAUUGGCGUAGAUUUGUGUUAUCGUUUUGCCUUGUAUUCUCUUGUCAAAUGUACACCGUAGAUUCUGUUGAACGAGUAUGAAAGCCAGUAUUCUCCUCUGCAAUGUACAAGCAUUUUCCUGUGCAAUGUAUGCUGUAUAUUCUGUUGAAUGAGUAUGAAUUCUGUUGAACUAGUAUGAAAGCCGAUUUCGCGAGGACAAGGCCACUGGAUAUUUAAUGCUCAUACCGGGAAUACAAUCUGAAGUAUGGUGUGGUGAAUUGCUGUGUGGUACUGAUGCUGCUGCUAUUGCUGCUAAUAGUGCAGCUAUUGCUGCUGCUGCUUCUGCUGUUGCUGAUGUUGCUCUCCUCUCCAUCCCCACCAUCUGCCUCUGGAAUAUUUGACAGUGGCAACAUGUACAUGUACAUGUAGUAACAGGUAUAUGUUCAUGGUGUUUCUUUCCUUCUGCGUGUGUCGCCCGCACCAAUACCUGACAACAUUGUGGAAAUAGUGGCAGUUGAAACAGAGAUUGUAUGCAAGUCCUCAGCUGCUACUGCAUCUCCAAGAAAGACAGCAGGUAUAUCAUCUCGUGACGACCACAUUGAAGUCUGAAUUUGAAGUGCGAAGAUGCUUCAGCAAGCACAUCGUACUUUUCCAUUGCUUUCAUUGUGCUUCUACUGUGCAUGUGUGUAACUUGUGGGGUAUAUAUGUGAUGACAAUGUAUGCUGGCGACACGGUCAGAUUUUGUCCAUGCGUGUAACGUACACCUGCAUGUUAUGCAUUGAAAAGGAUCUGCCACUUGCGAUCCUGGGACAAGUAUCAGGUCAGCUUUGUCUUGUGUGGGCUGUACCAGAUUGCUGUUCACUUUUCCAUCUGUUGGAUAUGUGACUUUCUGCAAGUCUCUGGUGUAUGGUGGCCACUUCUUUGCUUGUCACUUUGUAUGAUAUUACAUUCUGUAUUCGCUGCUUCCAUGGCGUGGUCUGCAAACUGCAAUCCUUGGGCAAAUGUCAUGUUUGCUAUGUUGUGCUUUGGCCGUCAGCUUGUCUACACGUUGUAGUUGGAUUAUUUUGUUCCACAACUGACUUCCUUUUAAAAGUACAGUGGCCACUGCUUUGCAUGGCAUUUUA
Long non-coding RNA from Sycon ciliatum, 1701 nucleotides. RefSeq lists it as uncharacterized. NCBI's taxonomy places the organism in Eukaryota, Metazoa, Porifera, Calcarea, Leucosolenida, Sycettidae. The transcript is spliced from 3 exons. The record is from RefSeq and is a predicted model, not a curated record.